Molecule: ribosomal RNA, 405 nt
Filed under: uncultured bacterium
Lineage: Bacteria
Description: partial 16S ribosomal RNA
Rfam family: Bacterial small subunit ribosomal RNA
Source: RNAcentral
AUUGAACGCUAGCGGGAUGCUUUACACAUGCAAGUCGAACGAGUGGCGGACGUGUGAGUAAUAUAUCGGAACGUGCCCAGUAGCUGGGGAUAACUACUCGAAAGAGUGGCUAAUAACGCAUACUAUUGGAGCGGCCGCUAGCGGAUUAGAUAGUUGGGGGGGUAAAGGCUCACCAAGGCAACGAUCCGUAGCUGGUUUGAGAGGACGACCAGCCACACUGGGACUGAGACACGGCCCAUACUCCUACGUGAGGCAGCAGUGGGGAAUUUUGGACAAUGGGGGAAACCCUGAUCCAGCCAUCCCGCGUGUAUGAGAAGGCCUUCGGUUUGUAAAGUACUUUUGGCAUAGAAGCGGUAUCUGCAUAAUAAGCACCGGCCAACUACGUUCCAGCCGCCGCGGUAAUAC